UACGUAGGGGCUAGCGUUGUCCGGAAUCAUUGGGCGUAAAGCGCGUGUAGGCGGUUCGGUAAGUCUGCUGUGAAAGUCGGGGGCUCAACCCUCGAAUGCCGGUGGAUACUGUCGGGCUAGAGUACGGAAGAGGCGAGUGGAAUUCCUGGUGUAGCGGUGAAAUGCGCAGAUAUCAGGAGGAACACCAAUUGCGAAGGCAGCUCGCUGGGACGUAACUGACGCUGAGACGCGAAAGCGUGGGGAGCAAACAGG
This 252-nucleotide ribosomal RNA is filed under the name uncultured bacterium. RNAcentral's name for it is "partial 16S ribosomal RNA". It matches the Rfam family "Bacterial small subunit ribosomal RNA", at positions 524 to 776 of the family's 1533-position model. The record is from RNAcentral.